UACGAAGGGGGCUAGCGUUGCUCGGAAUCACUGGGCGUAAAGCGCACGUAGGCGGAUUGCUAAGUCAGGGGUGAAAUCCUGGAGCUCAACUCCAGAACUGCCUUUGAUACUGGUGAUCUUGAGUCCGGGAGAGGUGAGUGGAACUGCGAGUGUAGAGGUGAAAUGCGCAGAUAUCAGGAGGAACACCGAUGGCGAAGGCAGCUCGCUGGGACGGUACUGACGCUGAGGCGCGAAAGCGUGGGGAGCAAACAGG
This 253-nucleotide ribosomal RNA is filed under the name uncultured bacterium. Its description in RNAcentral is "partial 16S ribosomal RNA". It matches the Rfam family "Bacterial small subunit ribosomal RNA", at positions 524 to 776 of the family's 1533-position model. The record is from RNAcentral.